Canis lupus familiaris (dog) is the source of this 4627-nucleotide long non-coding RNA. RefSeq lists it as uncharacterized. The transcript has 9 exons. The record is from RefSeq and is a predicted model, not a curated record. NCBI's taxonomy places the organism in Eukaryota, Metazoa, Chordata, Mammalia, Carnivora, Canidae.
ACAAAGCUAGGAGGUGAUGGUCAAUCCUGAGCUAUACUUUGUCAUCUUUUACCAGAUCUAUAUUUAGCUUCUUGGAACUCUCUUGGAGGACAUAUUUUCUUUCUUGGAAUGAUGAAGUAAAGGCACACACUUCAAGGCCCAGCACAGACAUUUCAUAUCAGAGAGCUUUCUACUGUGUUUCUUUCUACUGUGUUUCUUCUGCUGAUGGAAGGGAGAGCAGGAGGCAGGAUCUUCAAUGGUACACAAAACGGUAGAGAAAGGUACAAAGGUACCUUCAAAUGGUAGGAGGAAGGUGUGAUGAAAGGAAACCAAAGAAUAGCACAUCUCCUCAGGCACUUAAAAUUGAGUGGUGAUGGGGGUCCUCUUGAGGUAUGAUCAGGGCUCCCCAAGAAUGAGGGCAGAAGAAGCCAGUUACUGAGGAGAAUGGGGGCCCAAGCUUCCAGGAACAGGACUGGAACUUAAGACUCACCAUGAGUUCAUUAGGCAUGGAGAGUCCAAGCCAGGACAAGAGACCCUGAAGACCAGUAGAUGUCACCAACACACAUCUGAGGACCAACACACGGUCCGAGUGCAACUGGCCUCCCAAAAUGAAGAUAUGCCAGUCAUCUCCCAUCCCUCACACUUGGGUACCAAAUUAGGGGGUUGAGUAAGAGGGAGCAGCUGAUAGGAAUGGGGCCAUUUUAAUCUGAGAAAAGCUGGGUAUUGCUUUAAAAGGAAUGUUUCAAUGAUCUGAUUUAAAGGCCAGGCUUCACAUUUUCAGGCACAGUUGAGUUUAAAUGCAUAAUGAGUGAAAUUUUGCAGUUUCAUCACACCUGUUGCUCCCAGAUAGUGAGUCUGCAGAUGGCAUAUCAUCAGAGGAGGCUGAGUCCCUUUUGGGUCCAUCCAAAUCACACCAUAGCACAGCCUUCUUUGCUAUCUCUACCUAAGUGACCCAGACCCUGUGGCCUGUACAAAGCCUCCCUUGAUAGUAAAACAUCAUAUGUUAGAUGAAUCGGCAUCUCAGAAAUAUGUUGGAUAAACCAGAGGUCUAACCCAGAGACCUUUCUGAGUCGUCAGUAAAUCCCGUUUGGUACACUAAAUGUUUUCUGCAAAUCCUCACAUCCUCUCCUAUGGCCUUAUUUAGCUCCUUCCUUUGUUCCUCUGUCCCUUGGUCCCCACCAGUAAUCAUCUCAGACUUUAUAUGGAACAUACCUGCUUUUCCAGUGUGGACUUCUUUUUGGAGGCUCUGAAAUGAGAAUGACUCACUGACAUGAACAUGUCUCAAACACUGGUGUUAUGGCUCGGGCCACCUUCGGACUCCAUGCCUUCAGUGGCUGUGCUGUCACUGUCUGACCCCAACACAAAGUUCAGCUCCUCUGAGCUCUGGAGUCAGGCCUUGUCAAACAACUGGAAUUAGAGAGAAGUUCACUCUGCUCUUAUUGGGCCCAGAAUCGAGAUCGGGAUGAGAUCCACAGAUUUGGGCUCAGAACUAGUAAAGGUCUGAGCUGGUCAGCUGGGAAGGAAGGCCUGGGGCAUGACCCCCUGUCUCAUUCUAUCCUGCUACUUACAGUCCCUGACAUCACAAUGUGGAGACAGCAAUCAACAGUCGCUGUGCAUGCCCUUAGUAGCUCUUAACAGACAGUCUGGGAAAUACUGUUCCAGAAACACCGCUGCACUAUGGAAUUAUUUUACACAGACAGCGGUGCACCCAACGGAAGCCCUGCUGGCCAGGCAAGGCUGACCUGCACGCUGGCCUGUCAGAAGCCUCCUAGUGUUUUGAAACGAUGUCAACUCAUCCCACAAACGUCCCCUGUGUGAAAGAGGCCAAGCUGUCUGACACAGCCGUAGUUGGGGCAAGACGGAACUGGCAUACGGUGUGCUGUUAACGGGCUGGAUGGAUCCACCACCUGCUGUUUCUUCUGAUGGUAGAGAACUCUGCAAGACAGGACACAGCUCAGUUCUAAAUUCAUCCAAGUCCGGGCACCUGGGUGGCUCAGUCAGUUAAGUGUCUGCCUAUGGCUCAGUCAUGAUCUCAGGGGCCUGGGUUCAAGUCCCCAGCUGGCUCCCCACUCAGUCAGCUUCUCCCUCUGCCCCACCCUCUCCCCUUGCUCAUGCUUUCUCUCUCUCUCAAAAAUAAAUAAGUAAAUAAAUAAGUAAAAUCUUUAACAAAUAAAUACACAAAUAAAUUCAUCCCAGUCUUUUGUAAGGCACCUGAGUAACCCAAGGGAAGCUUUUCCUCUGGUGAAGGAGGCAGUUCCUUACCUUGGUGGUUUGCCUUUUGAUGUCAUACUAGGAGAGAGAAUGUGUGGAGUGGUGGGAAUCAUAGCCUCUAACAGAUGACGUUAUGUUGUGUCUCCUCUGCGGGUGGUCCCAACACAACCUGUGUGGAAUUCAACACUAGACUUCCCUAGGGGAAAGAUGAUAUAUAUUUUUUUUGAGAUUGAAUAAUCAUAUAUAUUGCUUUGUCAUGUCCCUUUUACAUUAUGGCUUUAAAAAAUAUGCAUGCCACUUGAAUCUGUAUUUGAGAAUAUUUACAAAUAUCCAAGGCCUUCUUCUUCCUUUUUUUUUAAACUCCAUUUUUGCUGAGAUAUAAUUCACAUAACAGAAAUUUCACCAAUUUUAGGUAUCCAUAACACAACUGUAUGCAUAACCAAUUUAAAAACAUUUCUAUCAUUUGCACAACUCCCCCCUCAAACUCACUAGAAAUUACUGUCUUUAUCCUUUUGCCCCAUAUUCUGUGGAAAUACAAGUCUACCUUUCCUCUGUAUGGGUUUGCCUAUUCUCAUGAUUUCAUAUAAAUGAAAUGAUACAUGCUCCUCUGUGAUCAUAUAUUUUCACUUAACAUUAUAGCUUCAAAGUUCAUCUGUGUUGUAAGAUAUGUUAGUUCUUCAUUCCAAUUUAUGGGCUAAAUAAUAUUCCAUUGUAUGAAAAUACCACAUAUUAUUUAUCCAUUCGCCUUUUGGUGGACAUUCGAGUUUCUACCUUUUGGAUAAUAUUUCUGUGAAACUUUGUGUACACAUUUUUCUAGGGACAUACAUUUUUGUUCUACUUCUGUGUAUACCUAGGAAUGGAAUUACUGGCUUAGAAAGUAACUUUAUAACUAACAUUUCUUGGAACUGGUAAAAUGUUUUUCAAAUUGGCACCAUUUUACAUUCCCACUAGCAAUGUUUAUCAGUCCCAAUCUCUUCACAUCAUGGUCAGUUUCAUCUGUGUUUUUUUUUUUUUUUUUAAUUAUAUUGGCCCUCGUGAGUGUAGAGUGAUAUCUCAUAUUUCCUUGAAACUAAUGAUUUUGAGCACAAAAGGUGAUAAUUAUUUAGAGUCAGAUAAUAAAAAAAGUAAAAAUUCAUUCAGUUGCUUGAGGUUCUAAAUAUGGUUUUAAGAAUGUGUGGGGUGUUACGCAUAUAGAUACUUCCCAAGGAGUGACAUUAAACAUUUUAAUGGCAUGAUGGCAUAACCAACUAUGAUAGAGUCUAGUAUGAUGACACCAGCAGGUAUCAGUGGGGCAUCUGUGUUGCUGCUAAAUCAGUCCACAGAGUUGUACUACUGCCUGAGUACUCGAUUUAAAGAAGCCAGCACUGGUUCCAGUAACUGCCCAAGCCAGAGUGGUUCUUCAAGGGUUUUGGAUCCAUCUCAACAUUUGAUAUGUUCCCAGAAUUUUCCCUUUGAAGCAGAACCUAACACUUUACUCAAUGAAAAAACCCUAAACUUUGGAAAACUAAGCGUGCUCAAUUGCUGGAAAACUAUGGGUCUUCCCAGAUGGGAGAAAUGAAGAAGCUUCAUUCUUCAAGUCAACUCCUUAGCUCAACUCCUCAGGAUGGGUCUUAGGAAAGAUGACACAUUUCUUUCUAAACUCUGGAGAGCCCUUGAGGAACCUUCUGCAAAGUGAUGAGUAUUUGAUCUGCCAUCGGCUGUAGAGAGUCAUGUUUCUAAGUGGCCUCCCUCGGGCACCAAACGUUGGAUCCGUGUCUCGAAAGCUGUGAAGUUGGACAGCCGUGAGAGAACACUCUCCUUUCUCUGGAGGAGAGAAUGUCAUUUUCAACACAUUGCUGUACAAUUUGUGAAAGAAUAAAAAAGGCUUAUGAUUUUCCUGUGACAUCGGAUGGCAGCUGGAAGUUACCCUGGAAGAGCAGUAAUGUGCCCUGACACUGCUUUGAGGAUAAUCUCCCCAAGAGGGGACCUCUCGAGCUGUCAUGUAUGGUUGACCUUGAACCAGUGCCCACGAUGCUAAUUUGUAACGACUAAGCUUUGCAGCACAGUUGGCUGAUCCAAGGAUUCUAUGACAUCCAUAUUUGCAGCCAGUGAUUUUCAAGUACUUUGAGUUUCAGACUUAUAACAAUAUACAAGAAAAUGGAAUCAGGGAAGAUAAACCACUUGCUCUUCAAACCUCAUUCAGACACGUGAGGUUUGCCUCUUUGAGGCUUGUGGUAAGUACUCGACUUCACAAGCUAUUUUUCCUAUGACGAUGAAAUUCAUCUGUUACAGAUCUUUGUGCAGUGUUAGCAUUGCAGAUGCUGAAGAUGAUGGCCAGCUCAUCAGCGUAUCUUGAACAAAAGACAUUAAAUGAUUUCAUCAGCCAAGAGAAGAAACCACUCCAGGGUGAUGAGCUCAUGGCCAUUGACUUCCAAUUUAUUUUUAAAAUUGAUAUAUA